GUAGGGUGCAAGCGUUAAUCGGAAUUACUGGGCGUAAAGCGUGCGCAGGCGGUUGUGUAAGACAGAUGUGAAAUCCCCGGGCUCAACCUGGGAACUGCAUUUGUGACUGCACAGCUGGAGUGCGGCAGAGGGGGAUGGAAUUCCGCGUGUAGCAGUGAAAUGCGUAGAUAUGCGGAGGAACACCGAUGGCGAAGGCAAUCCCCUGGGCCUGCACUGACGCUCAUGCACGAAAGCGUGGGGAGCAAACAGGAUUAGAUACCCUGGUAGUCCACGCCCUAAACGAUGUCAACUGGUUGUUGGGAAGGUUCCUUCUCAGUAACGUAGCUAACGCGUGAAGUUGACCGCCUGGGGAGUACGGCCGCAAGGUUG
This 369-nucleotide ribosomal RNA is filed under the name uncultured bacterium. RNAcentral describes it as "bacterial SSU rRNA". It matches the Rfam family "Bacterial small subunit ribosomal RNA", at positions 527 to 896 of the family's 1533-position model. The record is from RNAcentral.